RNAcentral lists this transfer RNA (73 nucleotides) under Catenibacillus scindens. RNAcentral's name for it is "intestinal bacterium CG19-1 tRNA". It matches the Rfam family "tRNA". From Rfam's summary of the family: Transfer RNA (tRNA) molecules are approximately 80 nucleotides in length. Lineage: Bacteria; Bacillati; Bacillota; Clostridia; Lachnospirales; Lachnospiraceae. RNAcentral also lists the same sequence under 1 other name. The record is from Rfam by way of RNAcentral.
GCCCAGAUAGCUCAGUCGGUAGAGCAACGGACUGAAAAUCCGUGUGUCGCUGGUUCGAUUCCGGCUCUGGGCA